RNAcentral lists this ribosomal RNA (535 nucleotides) under Salmonella enterica. RNAcentral's name for it is "partial 23S ribosomal RNA". It matches the Rfam family "Bacterial large subunit ribosomal RNA", at positions 1243 to 1773 of the family's 2925-position model. RNAcentral also lists the same sequence under 1 other name. Lineage: Bacteria; Pseudomonadati; Pseudomonadota; Gammaproteobacteria; Enterobacterales; Enterobacteriaceae. The record is from RNAcentral.
UAAGCCUGUGAAGGUGGCCUGUGAGGGUUGCUGGAGGUAUCAGAAGUGCGAAUGCUGACAUAAGUAACGAUAAAGCGGGUGAAAAGCCCGCUCGCCGGAAGACCAAGGGUUCCUGUCCAACGUUAAUCGGGGCAGGGUGAGUCGACCCCUAAGGCGAGGCCGAAAGGCGUAGUCGAUGGGAAACGGGUUAAUAUUCCCGUACUUGGUGUUACUGCGAAGGGGGGACGGAGAAGGCUAUGUUGGCCGGGCGACGGUUGUCCCGGUUUAAGCGUGUAGGUGUGUGUUCCAGGUAAAUCCGGUUCACUUUAACACUGAGGCGUGAUGACGAGGCACUACGGUGCUGAAGUAACAAAUGCCCUGCUUCCAGGAAAAGCCUCUAAGCAUCAGGUAACAUCAAAUCGUACCCCAAACCGACACAGGUGGUCAGGUAGAGAAUACCAAGGCGCUUGAGAGAACUCGGGUGAAGGAACUAGGCAAAAUGGUGCCGUAACUUCGGGAGAAGGCACGCUGACACGUAGGUGAAGUGAUUUACUCA